ACACAUUCUCCGAAUAGCUCAUCAGAAUAGCAUCCAUCAGUAGGAGUUUUUCUCCUCAGCUCAUGGCAGCGGAUCAAAUAUUUAGAUGUGAUUUUUAGACAUAAAGGCACAUGAAGAUAUUUGUUUGAUGAAGGAGGAGUGAUUUAGAAAACUCAGCUCCAACGAUGGGGAAGAAUUUUCUGCCAGGAUGAGGCUUAUCCACCUGCAACACGUUUUGCCUGAAAACUUCAUAUCCCCAUCAUUUUUUCCCGAAGGAAAAGACCCCAUUGGCCAGACCUUUUGCUGGGGGCCGGGGCUGGACCCCACCGGCUCGAAGGAGUCAGUGCUUUGUUGCUUGUCUGAUCAGCCAGCCUGGUGGGUCUGCUAUACCUAUUCCUACACCUCUUGUAUAACCAAGGAGAUGGAUUAUGCUAACUGGCCAGCUCUGAGUCAGGUGUCAUCAACUCUGGACAUGGAGACAGGGCCAGCUCUACCUGCCUUGGUGGGCUGGCGUAGGGUAUGUGUGUGGGGUGGGGUCGAGUGCGAGAGGCUUCGAGGAAAAUUGGGGCUCUGUCACUGGAAGCAGAGAGGGUGACUACUGGACAGACUACACAGCAGUGUCUACAAUAAGGACUUGGACAGCCCUCACCUUCACUGCCCUGUGCUCACCCCUAGGAGAAGCAAUUACACAGAUGACAAGCCCUGAGACACACUUCACUCCACAGUGAAAAUGUGUCAAGGGCAAAUGACUUUUAAAAAAUGUGAUUUUCAGUGAAAUACACAUAACAUUAAAUUUAUCAUUUGACCCCCUUUUAAGGGUACAUUUCCAUGGCAUUAAGUAGUUUUACACUGUUGUACAACCAUCACCACCAUCCAUUGCCAGAACUUGUUCAUCUUCCCAUGCUGAAACUGUGUCCUCACUGAACAACAUCUCGCCACCGUCCUUCCCCCAGCCCUGGGCAAACACCGUUCUAUUUUCUUUUCUCUAUGAACCUGUCUAUUUCAUGUCCCUCAUAUAGGUGGAACCAUACAGUAUUGGUCUUUCUUGUGUCUGGCUUAUUUCACUUAACCUGAUGUCCUCAAGUUCUAUCCAUGUUGCAACAUGUGUCAAAUUGUCAUUCUUUUAAAAAAAUCUAGUAUUUAUUUAAUUAAAAAAUUUUCUUUGUGGC
RNAcentral lists this long non-coding RNA (1148 nucleotides) under Cervus hanglu yarkandensis (Yarkand deer). Its description in RNAcentral is "lncRNA (ENSCHYG00000019911.1)". The record is from RNAcentral. Lineage: Eukaryota; Metazoa; Chordata; Mammalia; Artiodactyla; Cervidae.